CUUUUUUUCUUUUUCUUUUUUUUUUUUGAGAGAGAUAGGUAGUACGCUACCCACUUCGUUUAUUUUAUUUAGAAAUAAACUUAGCUAGAAAUGUGAAUAAACUAGGAUUCGAACUUGGGUCUCGAGUACCAACCACUAAGCCCUUUGCCACUUACUCUAGGAAUGGUCAGUAAUUCUUACCAAUUCUUAGCAUCGUUUGAACAAUAAGAAGAAUAUAUUUCUUAUUCUUCCUUUAUCUCUUAAACC
RNAcentral lists this long non-coding RNA (246 nucleotides) under Ananas comosus (pineapple). RNAcentral's name for it is "long non-coding RNA (ACOM_LNC014785)". The record is from RNAcentral. Lineage: Eukaryota; Viridiplantae; Streptophyta; Magnoliopsida; Poales; Bromeliaceae.